This 578-nucleotide ribosomal RNA is filed under the name uncultured Flavobacteriia bacterium. Its description in RNAcentral is "bacterial SSU rRNA". It matches the Rfam family "Bacterial small subunit ribosomal RNA", at positions 344 to 916 of the family's 1533-position model. Lineage: Bacteria; Pseudomonadati; Bacteroidota; Flavobacteriia. The record is from RNAcentral.
GGAGGCAGCAGUGAGGAAUAUUGGACAAUGGAGGCAACUCUGAUCCAGCCAUGCCGCGUGCAGGAAGACGGCCCUAUGGGUUGUAAACUGCUUUUAUACAGGAAGAAUGGUACCUACGUGUAGGUAUUUGACGGUACUGUACGAAUAAGGAUCGGCUAACUCCGUGCCAGCAGCCGCGGUAAUACGGAGGAUCCAAGCGUUAUCCGGAAUCAUUGGGUUUAAAGGGUCCGUAGGCGGUCUGAUAAGUCAGAGGUGAAAUCCUGCAGCUCAACUGUAGCAUUGCCUUUGAUACUGUUAGACUUGAGUUAUUGUGAAGUAGUUAGAAUGUGUGGUGUAGCGGUGAAAUGCAUAGAUAUCACACAGAAUACCGAUUGCGAAGGCAGAUUACUAACAAUACACUGACGCUGAGGGACGAAAGCGUGGGUAGCGAACAGGAUUAGAUACCCUGGUAGUCCACGCCGUAAACGAUGGAUACUAGCUGUUCGACCAACAUGGGUUGGUUGAGUGGCUAAGCGAAAGUGAUAAGUAUCCCACCUGGGGAGUACGCUCGCAAGAGUGAAACUCAAAGGAAUUGACGG